GUCCUAGCCGUAAACGGUGUGCACUUGAUGUAGGAGGAAUUAUCCCCUUCUGUGUCGUAGCUAACGCGAUAAGUGCACCGCCUGGGGGAGUACGGUCGCAAGAUUAAAACUCAAAGGAAUUGACGGGGGCCCGCACAAGCGGUGGAGCAUGUGGCUUAAUUCGAUGCAACGCGAAGAACCUUACCUGGACUUGACAUGUAACUGCACGCUGGGCGAAAAGCCCGGAAGCCUUCGAGGGUGUUACACAGGUGCUGCAUGGCUGUCGU
This 266-nucleotide ribosomal RNA is filed under the name uncultured bacterium. RNAcentral's name for it is "partial 16S ribosomal RNA". It matches the Rfam family "Bacterial small subunit ribosomal RNA", at positions 793 to 1055 of the family's 1533-position model. The record is from RNAcentral.